UCAAAUAGUAAGAUGGCAAUACAAUUAUGGGUGACUUGAAUACAUGAAGGCAAUCUGCCAAUGUCACAUUUUUGGGGAUAAUUCACUACUUAUUUUUAUACAUAAGAGAAAAAGUAGAAAUUUUUUCAAUAAGGUAAUUGUGGUUUUACAGAAAAUGUCUCAUCCCUUGAAAUAUCUCUAUAGGUAAAAUAAGAUAUACAGUUUAUUUGCCUAAAAAGUAAAUACAUACAGUGUAUGUAUGAACAGUAAAAACAUUAAGAGUUUGUAAUGUGUCCUCUCUACUAUUAAUGCUGACAGAUAUUCUUUACCUACUGUAAUGAUUAUGUUUUAUUCUCCACACAUCUUACUUAGGAGUUGCAAAGAAAUACAUUAGGAUUUCUAUGCUUUUUAGUUAUUUAUCUUAAUGUUUACAUAAAUACAUUGAUUACUACCUGUGUAAAAAACCAACCAACCAACAUACCAAAACUCUAGGCUUUGCACAAAGAAUUGCUACUUUAAGUUAAUAUCUGCCCCUCUGAUGACUUUUAUUAGAUGUUUAAUUAUAAAAAAUGUAUUAUGUAACUUCUUAUGUAAUCUCUUCAUUCUUAUAUUUGCAUAUAUAAUAUAUAUUAGAUGCCAGAUAUGCUCUUUAAGGCACGUUAAAAUUUGCAAAUUUAAGAAACAUGAAAUUUUAAAUUUUCCUACAAGAGAUAAAGUUUUAACCAUUCUAUGAUUCUUUUUUGCUUUUCUCAAAAGAAUUUCAACAUAAAACGUUAGUAAUAUAGAAAUUGAAACUUAUAGGCAAGAAAAAAAUGAGAUUAUAAACUUGCUUACCAUACCAGCAGAAUUGUUUUGCUAAGUUUUAAGGUUUUCUCUGAGCUUCUUUGGAACCUUGACCAAAAGAAAUUAUGUUAGGUAUUUGUAACAAACAAGAAAUGACAUUUUUCUUGGUGCUAAAUUUUGGAAAUAAAGACAAUGAUAGGAAGUGAAUAUGGAGUUUUAUAGAAAGGACUCAAACUAAUGUGACAUUGAUCUUACCAGUAUUUUACAGUAAAGGCAGAAACCACCUUCAUAGAGCUAUUACUUGUAUCGACCUGUCAUAAAAGCUGAGGGUGUGACAUUAAAAUGUAGUUCAGGAAAAGCUGUUUUAUGAGGGACUUUGAUAAUGUGGUCCAAGUUAUGGAGAGUUGUGGUUUAGCUUCAUGAAAGCAAAGGAUGCUUUCCAGUGCAGUGAGUGAAUAGCUCACUCAUCAGCAACUCCCAAAUGCCUGCUCGGACAUAUUAGAAUCACCCGGGAAGCUACUCAUUUUCCAGUCUCUGGACCUAGACAUCAGCUCUGUAGGUCUGGGAUGGGACAUAAUGAAACUGUCUCUUUGAAAACCUGUUUAGGUGGUUCUGAUGUAUGACCAGGUUUUGGAAGCAAUGCAUUGAUAAUUUCCCCUGAAUAUCACUUCUGCCAGUUGGGUCUUUUUAUAGGAGCUGGCCAUUAGUGGGGGUUAUAAAAUUUGAGUAUUCCUUCCAGUGGACCUAGAGUGAAAAUAUUGCACAGCAAGGGGAGUAGGCUUUUAAAAGAGUUGUUAACCAAAAGGAGCAGUCCAGUUCCUGGAGCACAUGCCUUGGAAGAGAUAGUUGAGGGGCUGAUGAGAAAGAAGAAAGAAGCAAAGAGAUGACAUUCAAAUACAUGGAGAGAUGGUCUUUUUAAAAGACAGCAGACUUGGCCCACUCAGCUUUUUAAGGGCUGAGUUAGGACCUACCUACAUGUGGAAGCUAAUAGGGGCAGAUUGCAGUAAACAUUUUUUUUUUGGUCUUUUUGCCAUUUCAUGGGCUGCUCCCGUGACACAUGGAGGUUCCCAGGCUAGGGGUCAAACCGGAGCUGCAGCCACUGGCCUACGCCAGAGCCACAGCAACGUGGGAUCCGAGCCGCAUCUGCGACCUAUACCACAGCUCACGGCAACACCGGAUCCUUAACCCACUGAGCAAGGGCAGGGAUCGAACCCGCAACCUCAUGGUUCCUAGUCGGAUUCGUUAACCACUGAGCCAUGACAGGAACUCCUGAUUGCAGUAAACAUUUUAAAAAGAAUAUUCUAAAAGUCUUUAGCAUAAAUCUUUAACAGUAGAGUUAGCUAUCCCAAGGCUAUUGAGUUCUCUGUGGCUUUAAGUUUGCCUACAGCAGAAGCAUGAGAGCUAUAGAGGAAAUUAGUGAUUUGGAUGGAAAGGGCUAUGAAUUUCAAUCCUAGAGUCUGAAAACUUCUAAUGUUGUUUUCCACCCAUGGAUCAGUAAAAAAGAGGUGUAUUCCAAGGAAACACCAGGAGCGACUCCCUGGAACUCUAGAAGUGAUGGCUGAAGAGCAACAUGACAUUGCUUAUACAUGAUAAUGGAAUUACAAUUAUUUGAUGACCUUUGAGAAUACUAAGUGACAUGGUGGUAUACAUAUACAUUAAAAGUAAAAUACACUAGUUUUAUUCCUCAAAACAAAUAUACUUUAUAUUUAAAAUUGUGGGGGGUUAUUACACUAUUCAUCUAGAUUCCUACACUUGAUCUUAUUGUUCUUACUGUAUUUGAAGAUAAGUAAGGUUUUAUAUUAAAAGAAGACAAAUUUAAGGAAUUUCAAGGAAUUAAAUUGGUACACUAAUAGAUUUCAGAUUGUGGAAUGAAUACUGUUGCAUCUUAUACGUGACAGGGUUUUUAAAAAAAAUUAUAGUUUAUUUACAAUGUUCUGUCAGUUUCUGCUCUACAGCAAAGUGAUCCAGUUACACAUUUAUAUAUGUUCUUUUUCUCUCAUUAUCUUCCGUCAUGUUCCAUCACAAGCAAUUGGAUAUAGUUUCCAGCAGGAUCUCAUUGCUUAUCCAUUCCAAAUGCAGUAGUUUUCAUCUCCUAACCCCAGAUUUAUAAAUGCUCCAUCAGGUAGUCAUUUAACCCACCCACCACAUGGAGUUAGUGUUAGGACCAAAUGAGUUCAUGCAUAUAAGGAGCUUAAAAGAGUCCAUGCAAUAAAUGCUCAAUAAAUGUAAGUUAAUAUUAUUAUUACUACUGUUAUUGAUGAACAGACUGACUUGCUUUCAGGUGGUGAUUGUAGCAUUGGGCAUGUGCAAGACACAAAGCAGCUGUCCUGUAAGAGUCUGUUCAUGAUCAUAAAGAUGUCAUAAUCAUCAGAGCUUCCCAGCCAGGUCUAUGGGAUGUGGUCCAUUUUGCGUCCUAUUUCGAAAGCAGGCAUUACCUGAAUGUGUUCCCAGUGCUUAGGCUGCAGCUAUUAAACAAAGAUCUCAUCCCUACAUAAGGACUGAUAUUUUUUUUAGAAGAUACUGGUGAGGAUUAAUGAAGUUCCUGGAGUUCAGCACAUUUGAGUUGAAUUUUGAAAGAAUUAAAAAUGAGCGGAGAGGGAAAAGGAGAUGUCUGAUCUUUUUAAGUAGGAAAAGUGGCAUAUGAAAUAGAGACGAAAGUGACAAAAUGAUAUUCUAGAGUAUUGAGAUCAAUGUACCUGACUUGAGAAACAGGCUGUUAAGAAUUAAGAGGAAGAGAUUAGUGAAUGAGGCUGUGUGAGGAGGGACCCCCAAACUAGAUGGUGGUGUGUAUGUAUUUGAUGUGGUGGGGGUGGGGAGCCCUUUGUGGAAUCUGUGAACAGGAGAAAAUGGCACUUAAGGAAGAUGGACUCCAGCAUUUCAUUCAAAAGAGAAAAUGAAUUUGGAAGUAGUAGGCAUAAAUGAAAAUGGGCAAAUUCUAGAGAUGCUUCAGAGGAAUAGCCAGAGGACUUAGUGACUUAUUGGCCAUUAUGGAAAGUGAGAGGCAGACACAACUUAGAAUAGAUAUACAAGGAGAUCCUGCUAAAUAGCAUUGAGAACUUUGUCUAGAUACUCAUGUUGCAACAGAACAAAGGGGGGAAAAAUGUAAUUGUAAUGUAUACAUGUAAGGAUAACCUGACCCCCUUGCUGUACAGUGGGAAAAUAAAAAAAUUAAAAAAAAAUAAAAA
RNAcentral lists this long non-coding RNA (3947 nucleotides) under Sus scrofa (pig). RNAcentral's name for it is "lncRNA (ENSSSCG00040017461.1)". The record is from RNAcentral. Lineage: Eukaryota; Metazoa; Chordata; Mammalia; Artiodactyla; Suidae.